UCUCUACCUCCAAAGU
This 16-nucleotide small RNA is filed under the name Arabidopsis thaliana (thale cress). RNAcentral describes it as "ATSL064980". The record is from RNAcentral. Lineage: Eukaryota; Viridiplantae; Streptophyta; Magnoliopsida; Brassicales; Brassicaceae.